RNAcentral lists this ribosomal RNA (534 nucleotides) under Tiaobeinia emeiensis. RNAcentral's name for it is "partial large subunit ribosomal RNA". It matches the Rfam family "Archaeal large subunit ribosomal RNA", at positions 1903 to 2676 of the family's 2987-position model. Lineage: Eukaryota; Metazoa; Arthropoda; Insecta; Hemiptera; Cicadellidae. The record is from RNAcentral.
AAACAUUUCUUUUUGGUUUUUUGAAAAGUAUCCCCUGCCCUAUGGUGUUUUCUAAAUGGCUGCAGUAUUUUGACUGUGCAAAGGUAGCAUAGUAAUUAGCUUCUUAAUUAGGAGCUUGUAUGAAAGGGUUAAUGAAAAAUUAGUUUUAUUUAAUUUAAUAUUAAAAUUUAAAUUUUAAGUUAAAAUGCUUAAGGAGUUUCUUGGGACGAUAAGACCCUAUAGAACUUUACUAUUAAAAAUUUCUAUUAAUUAUUUAUAUAAUAAAUUUUUAAAUUAGAAAUUUAAUAGUUUUGCUGGGGUGGUUAAUAAAUUUUAAACUUUAUUAUUUUUAAUUCAUUUAUUUAUGUUAAUUAAUUUAUAAUGAUCCCUUAUUAGGAUUAAUAGACAUAGUUACCUUAGGGAUAACAGCGUAAUAAUAAUGGGGAGUCCACAUCUAUAUUAAUUUUUGCGACCUCGAUGUUGAAUUAAGAAAACUUUUAGAAGCAGAAUUCUUAUUAGUAGGUCUGUUCGACCUUUAAAUUCUUACAUGAUCUG